This is a non-coding RNA of Pseudonaja textilis, 1659 nucleotides long. NCBI's taxonomy places the organism in Eukaryota, Metazoa, Chordata, Lepidosauria, Squamata, Elapidae. The record is from RefSeq and is a predicted model, not a curated record.
AUGUCAUGACUGUUAAAAUUUUAACACAGAUUGCCUAUGAAGAACAUCCGGCGGGGGAAGGGGGAGAGGCAGUAUAGCCACUUUGUUGUUUGCUCUCACUGCUAAAAUUUAUUCAGGAAGGUUUUUUUUUUAAAAAAAAGUCUAGAUUGAUUGUCCUUGAGUGAUAUUCCAUAUUUCCAUCAAUUCAUCCCAUUUUAUUUCUAUUCUGUCUUAUCAAUCUAUGGGUUUUACAUUACAAAAUCUGAGUUUUGUUGGCUUCUUUUGCUAUUCAUCCUCUCUUUAUGUUUUUCCUACUUCUCAACAAUUUUAGAAAUAAACCAUCCUGUUCUCAUUCUACUAUUUGUCUCUCUGUUUUGUUGUUAAGUUGAACUGGUUUGAGAUAAUACGCUUGUAUAUAAACACAGACUAUUUCUUUAGGUUAGUGUAUUAUAUUUGCCAUAGUAGUAAUAUACAUCUCAAAUGUUUUUUUUAAGUAAAACUUAUGCAACAAUAAUUAAAGAGGCUAACACUGUCAGUGAAUGGGCAGCCUAGAAAAGCAUUUAGUAAGAGAAUGGCACAUUCUCUGAAUUUUAGUAAGAGCUUAUAUUUUUAAAAAGUUGCUGUUGUUAUUUAGAAUCUGACCCAUUCUGUGCUGAUUUUGCACAAUGUGUCUCUAAGCUUUUUGAUGGACAUCCCAGAGGCUGCUCUGUUCUUUCCAUAUUUCUGCUAUACUUGCCAAAAAAAAAAAUCCAUUCCAUAAAAAAAUAUAAAGAACUACAGAGAACUUUCCCAUUAUAGCAUAUACUUGAAAUUUGGUUGAGUCAAAAUUUGUUUGAUUCGAAUCUUGCCGUUUUUGAAUCUUGAAUUCAAAUUGAACUGUGAUUGAUUUAUGUAUCUCUAGUUUACAAAGCACUGAUACGUAUGAGAUGUCUCUCUACAGUAGAUGGAAGCACCUACCCUGGCUCAAAGGUUAAAUAGGGCAAAGUUUGAUUACCACUUGAAUGAGAGACAAAGAAACUCAAGGCUAUAGUAAAGUAAAAAGAUACCCUAGAAGGUGGCAGUGUCAAAACAGUGACAAACUAGCGUCAAGAAAACUACCUGGACAAAGAGGAUAGGGAUGAUGCUGCGACAAUAUGACGCAUUCCACGGGGCUAUGUGGGAUCGCACCAAAAUUCAAACUGCAAGGAGGUUGUGAUGGACCUAAAUCACCUUGGAGGGGUGAUGAAGUAAGAGAGCACACUCCGCUCACAAACUUCCUGAUCGAUCCGGAGAAGACUUUCAAUCCAGCAGGAAGAAAAAGACAGCUAUUGUGUGCCUGAUCAAAGCUGGGACAGCUGACCGAUGAAGAAAGCACGAAAGAUUGAGGAACAGUGUGAAUGAUCUAGGUGAGAGAUUUCUAACUUCUAACUGCUAUUGAGCCCCCUGGAAACUAGCCUGGGAGAGAAUGGGACUCAAAAAGAAGUGGAUUUGUUCUUCUUCCACUUUCCAAGAAAAGCUGCAAGCAAGCCAGAGAGCCAUUUUUAAAACUGGAAAGAAGAAGAGAGAAUUUUUUAAGAGAGUGAAAAAGCCUUAAAAUUAGGAGGAUAUGAUCAAUUUGGAAAGCUUUUGGAGAUUAUAACAUUUGGACUUAAAGAAUUUUCUUUGUUUUGGAAAAUCUGGACUGGAUAACACAAUAUAAAA